Molecule: ribosomal RNA, 111 nt
Filed under: uncultured bacterium
Lineage: Bacteria
Description: partial 16S ribosomal RNA
Rfam family: Bacterial small subunit ribosomal RNA
Source: RNAcentral
CUCGGGGAUUGUACACACCGCCCGUCAAGUCACGAAAGCUGGCAACACCCGAAGUCAGUGGCCCAACCUUUUUGGAGGGAGCUGCCGAAGGUGGGGUUGGUAAUUGGGACU